GGAGGAGCUGAAGGAUGGCGAGCCGUUGCUGAGAGUUGGGACACGCUACCCGUCGCUUCAAACACAGCUGCUUCUGAUACACCAGCCCGUAAUUAAUCUGAAGCCUUUAAACCCUGCCGAGAAAGGAGUGGAACUAAAAGUGCGCAGUUGUCUCUCGUCGCUGCGAGGGAGAUCUCUGGCAUAUUUGCACGAAUCUCCUUUCCUUUCUGCCCUCUUGCUUUGGAAUACUACAGGUAAGCACUCAUGGGUAGCCUGUGUGUUUGGGCUGUGGCCGCUCUGCUGGGCACCUCAGGGUGCUGGCUGGCUGAAGGGCUCAAGACCAGCAGGAGAGGCAGCGUUCAUUCAGCUGCAAUGCCACGUAGCUCCUCCCAGGAACCAGACCCCAUGGAGAAGGGGAAAGCAGACGGGAACAUCGAUCAAU
Molecule: long non-coding RNA, 421 nt
Organism: Notothenia coriiceps (black rockcod)
Lineage: Eukaryota; Metazoa; Chordata; Actinopteri; Perciformes; Nototheniidae
Exons: 3
Source: RefSeq, a predicted model, not a curated record